AGAAUCAACGCUGGCGGCGUGCCUAACACAUGCAAGUCGAACGCGAAAGUGGAGCAAUCCAUGAGUAGAGUGGCGAACGGGUGAGUAACGCGUGGGUGACCUACCUCUGAGUGGGGGGAUAACGUCCCGAAAGGGACGCUAAUACCGCAUAACAUCCUGCCGUUUAGGAACAGGCGGUGAUCAAAGCCGGGGAUCGCAAGACCUGGCGCUUGAAGAGGGGCCCGCGUCCGAUUAGCUAGUUGGUGAGGUAACGGCCCACCAAGGCGACGAUCGGGUA
Molecule: ribosomal RNA, 277 nt
Filed under: uncultured soil bacterium
Lineage: Bacteria
Description: partial 16S ribosomal RNA
Rfam family: Bacterial small subunit ribosomal RNA
Source: RNAcentral